AGCCUCUACACAUUCCCAAGUUUUUCCACGCUUUUGCAGCUGCAAAUAACAUACUGAAGAAGGAUCCUGAAAACAGCCAUCUCAAGACUGUCAUUCACAUGAAUGAAGAUACAGUUUGUGUAUAACAUCUAAGCUAAUGAACUCCCAUCAAGCUUUAUGAGCCACAGCUCUCAAGCCAAGUGAGAUGGCGAGACAAUGCCUGUUCAGCUGAUGAGAAAUCUUAUCAGGCAAGAUUAACAUACAAGGCAGAAUUGCAGUGAAAAUUCAUGUGAAGAUGUUUAGAAAAGAGUGAAAAAAACAGCAGGACAUUUCUAUGGCUUGGAAGAUCUACCAUGCUGUACUGCUGAGACCCUUGAAUGUCUAUCAGGAUACUCUUCUGCUGCCAGCCAGCAAGCAUUGAAAAAAACUUGAAAAAGCUACAUUAAUAUUCUCUGGUGAUCUGUAUAUCUAUCACACCCCUCUCUGAUGCUUCUGUGAUGGAGUGUAUCUUCCUCAGUACGGAAUUUAGCACAUAAGUCUCUGAACUUCCCUCCCAUUAACCAGGUUAGCAUAAUCUCAUUUUUUACACCUUGCAACUAGUGCUUUGAACAGCAGAAUUGCUGCGCUAAGAAAAUAAUUCCAACAGAGAAAUAAAUAAGAUGAUGCUGAAAGAAAAAUCCGCAAUUGCUGUCUAUUAGAUGUGUGAGCAUAGUUAAAGACAGUCAGAAUUUGAACAGCCCCUUGCUUUCGCAUAUGUGCAGAUUUAAAAAAAAAAAAAAAAGUAAAUUGACCAGAUCAACAUUGGUUGAACUCUGCCUACCGCUCUACUGAGCCAUAAGUUUGUGUACAAGCCAUUGACAUCCAUGUCUUCCUAGAAGUAUGUAUUCUACAAAUUUCAUGGACAUGAAUAAGGAAGACACCAGAGAAACGAUUAGCUCAUGCUCUUCCUAUUUGUGGGGCAAGGUUUUUGACCCAUCCUCAUCCAGUUGUCCUGAUCAAAAUUUAAAAGAGGGAAUUGGUUUAUUCAUUUAUUACAUUUGUCGUGUGUUUUUCAUUCAUCACUAACAAAAUAUAUCAUAAUUAGGAUGUUACCUAGCAAUAGCAACAAAAAGAAAAAUGAACCACCAGUGCUCUGCAGCAGGUACAGCCCUUUGAGGUGCCCACAUUAGCAUUUCGGAGAACGUGACAAUGUUCUAGUGCCAGACAAACUACAAGAAAAAAAAAGGCACAAGCUAGGAGAAAGAUCUGCCAAUGGAGAAAAUAAACAGAGGGAAGACUGUUUUUUUUCCACAGUGACAAAUGAAGUACCUUGACAGAUACUACUCAUUCAGUUAUUAGCAUCAUAAUUGUUAAUUAUUAUUACUGGAAGACAGAAUGAAAUAUGUUAUUUUGUGAACACAUUAGUCUCUGAUAAACACUCUUGAACAGAAGAGCCAUGAUGAGCAUUUAUUCUACACAACAGCAGCUGCAAGUGAGCAUUGUGAUAAAGAUUAUUAGCAUUUCUAAUAACAAUUUUCCCACACUCAUAACUCUCUUAGUGCCUUUCAAGACAGAAACUUUCCAUGCUGAAUCAAUCAACUUAAUCAAUGACCUAAAAGAGAGCAAUCUCUCUUUAAAACUCUUUUCCAGUUUGUUUGGUGGGCUUGGGACAAAUCAGUGAGAUUUUUUUCCACAGAAUGCCAUAGCGCCAGUUUAAAAGUAUGUGACAGUUACCUCCCAGCCCGACCCCUGGUCGUAAAGAGAUCAUAACCAAUGGCACUUUCUAAAGACAGUAGCUAUCAUCUGUAAGUGAGCUGGUCAAUCUCAAUCCCUCUGUCCCCUCACCAGCAUUGUGAGAGCCCCAAGUGUUGUAAUGGCCAGCAUGCCAGGAUCCAGCCAUGGAAAAGAGAGGUGUAACAGCACUUGAGACAUUGCCUAUAACAUCAAGCAGCUGCAAGUCCCUAUGGGACUCAGAUUGGAACCACUGCUGAAUUGCCAUUCAACACCUCUGCUGUUGUCCACUGAGGGCUAAGUGACUCAUUUUCCUUCACAGGUAUUUCUAGAUUACGAUCACUGUAUGACACGCCAAGUGUUAAGGUUUGACAUCAUUUACAGAUUAUCCAGAUAACUACAACAAAGAAAGUAGUUAUAAGUUACAAUAAUUACAAAAUUGUGUGCCAAGCUAGUUAUAAAAUCCUGUGCUAUGUUAAUUACAAAAUUCUCUAUAGUAUGUUAAUUAUAAAAUACCAUAAGCAUAAAGCCUUGAUCA
This is a long non-coding RNA of Gallus gallus (chicken), 2227 nucleotides long. The record is from Ensembl. Lineage: Eukaryota; Metazoa; Chordata; Aves; Galliformes; Phasianidae.